GACGAACGCUGGCGGCGUGCUUAACACAUGCAAGUCGAGCGCUGAAGCUUCCUUCGGGGGUGGAUGAGCGGCGAACGGGUGAGUAACACGUGGGUGACCUGCCCUCAGCUACUGGGAUAAAGCCUGGGAAACUGGGUCUAAUACCGGAUAGGACCUUCUGUUGCAAUGACAGUGGGUGGUAAAGUUUUUUCGGCGUGGGGA
Molecule: ribosomal RNA, 201 nt
Filed under: uncultured bacterium
Lineage: Bacteria
Description: partial 16S ribosomal RNA
Rfam family: Bacterial small subunit ribosomal RNA
Source: RNAcentral